GACGAACGCUGGCGGCGUGCUUAACACAUGCAAGUCGAACGGAAAGACCCUGCUUUUGUGGGGUGCUCGAGUGGCGAACGGGUGAGUAACACGUGAGUAACCUGCCCUUGACUUUGGGAUAACUUCAGGAAACUGGGGCUAAUACAGGAUAGGAGCUCCUGCUGCAUGGUGGGGGUUGGAAAGUUUCGGCGGUUGGGGAUGGACUCGCGGCUUAUCAGCUUGUUGGUGGGGUAGUGGCUUACCAAGGCUUUGACGGGUAGCCGGCCUGAGAGGGUGACCGGCCACAUGGGGACUGAGAUACGGCCCAGACUCCUACGGGAGGCAGCAGUGGGGAAUAUUGCACAAUGGGCGGAAGCCUGAUGCAGCAACGCCGCGUGCGGGAUGACGGCCUUCGGGGUGUAAACCGCUUUCGCCUGUGACGAAGCGUGAGUGACGGUAAUGGGUAAAGAAGCACCGGCUAACUACGUG
Molecule: ribosomal RNA, 468 nt
Filed under: uncultured bacterium
Lineage: Bacteria
Description: partial 16S ribosomal RNA
Rfam family: Bacterial small subunit ribosomal RNA
Source: RNAcentral